RNAcentral lists this ribosomal RNA (142 nucleotides) under uncultured Helicobacter sp. RNAcentral describes it as "partial 16S ribosomal RNA". It matches the Rfam family "Bacterial small subunit ribosomal RNA", at positions 278 to 419 of the family's 1533-position model. Lineage: Bacteria; Pseudomonadati; Campylobacterota; Epsilonproteobacteria; Campylobacterales; Helicobacteraceae. The record is from RNAcentral.
GACGGGUAUCCGGCCUGAGAGGGUGAACGGACACACUGGAACUGAGACACGGUCCAGACUCCUACGGGAGGCAGCAGUAGGGAAUAUUGCUCAAUGGGGGAAACCCUGAAGCAGCAACGCCGCGUGGAGGAUGAAGGUUUUA